RNAcentral lists this transfer-messenger RNA (273 nucleotides) under bacterium. RNAcentral describes it as "partial transfer-messenger RNA". It matches the Rfam family "transfer-messenger RNA", at positions 107 to 374 of the family's 374-position model. From Rfam's summary of the family: Bacterial tmRNA, also known as 10Sa RNA or SsrA, is named for its dual tRNA and mRNA-like properties. Its role is to liberate the mRNA from a stalled ribosome. The record is from RNAcentral.
UUCGCCUACGCGACGGCUCGCGGCUAACCCCGCGUCCCUCGCCUAGUGCGACGUUUGCUCUCUCCCGGCGCUUAGAGCGCGAGAGCAGGCGGAAUCUUCUCUAAGCUCGGCGACCCUGGUGCCCACUUGGCUCGCUUAAACUUCGGGUUCGCAGUGGAGUGGUUUUGUUUCGAUUCUUCGCACCCACUGCUAGACACUAAUCGAAACUAUGCGUCGUAGAAGCGCUUUCAUUGCCAGAUUCGGACGCGGGUUCGAUUCCCGCCAUCUCCACAA